Long non-coding RNA from Perca flavescens (yellow perch), 182 nucleotides. RefSeq lists it as uncharacterized. The transcript has 2 exons. The record is from RefSeq and is a predicted model, not a curated record. Lineage: Eukaryota; Metazoa; Chordata; Actinopteri; Perciformes; Percidae.
UUCACCUCUACUUAUCUGAGUGCAGAGAGGAGGACAGAGAACAGUGGACACACAGUUUAACAUGAUGGACUAUAGGACAGGACUGCUGCUUUUAACUCUCUGCUGGGCAGGUGUUGAUGGUCAGACUCUGACAGAAUCUGAACCAGCGAUUAAAAGACCUGGAGAAUCCCACAGAUUGACCU